This 495-nucleotide ribosomal RNA is filed under the name uncultured bacterium. Its description in RNAcentral is "partial 16S ribosomal RNA". It matches the Rfam family "Bacterial small subunit ribosomal RNA", at positions 28 to 507 of the family's 1533-position model. The record is from RNAcentral.
GAUGAACGCUGGCGGCGUGCCUAAUACAUGCAAGUAGAACGCUGAAGGAGGCGCUUGCUCUUCUGGAUGAGUUGCGAAAGGGUGAGUAACGAGUAGGUAACCUGCCUGGUAGCGGGGGAUAACUAUUGGAAACGAUAGCUAAUAACGCAUGACAACAGUUAUUGCAUGAUAACUGUUUAAAAGGGGCAACUGCUCCACUACCAGAUGGACCUGCGUUGUAUUAGCUAGUUGGUGAGGUAACGGCUCACCAAGGCGACGAUACAUAGCCGACCUGAGAGGGUGAUCGGCCACACUGGGACUGAGACACGGCCCAGACUCCUACGGGAGGCAGCAGUAGGGAAUCUUCGGCAAUGGACGGAAGGCUGACCGAGCAACGCCGCGUGAGUGAAGAAGGGUUUCGGAUCGGAAAGCUCUGUUGUAAGUGAAGAACGAGUGUGAGAGUGGAAAGUUCACACUGUGACGGUAGCUUACCAGAAAGGGACGGCUAACUACGUG